UGAGGGAAUAUUUGGGGUCAAUGGACGGGAGUCUGAACCAGCCAAGUAGCGUGCAGGAUGACGGCCCUAUGGGUUGUAAACUGCUUUUUAGUAGGGGGAUAAAGUGUGCCACGUGUGGCAUAUCGCAGGUACCCUAUGAAUAAGGACCGGCUAAUUCCGUGCCAGCAGCCGCGGUAAUACGGAAGGUCCGGGCGUUAUCCGGAUUUAUUGGGUUUAAAGGGAGCGUAGGCCGGAGAUUAAGCGUGUUGCGAAAUGUAGUGGCUCAACCUCUGCACUGCAGCGCGAACUGGUCUUCUUGAGUACGCACAACGUGGGCGGAAUUCGUGGUGUAGCGGUGAAAUGCUUAGAUAUCACGAAGACUCCGAUUGCGAAGGCAGCUCA
RNAcentral lists this ribosomal RNA (381 nucleotides) under uncultured Prevotella sp. RNAcentral describes it as "bacterial SSU rRNA". It matches the Rfam family "Bacterial small subunit ribosomal RNA", at positions 354 to 728 of the family's 1533-position model. The record is from RNAcentral. Lineage: Bacteria; Pseudomonadati; Bacteroidota; Bacteroidia; Bacteroidales; Prevotellaceae.